RNAcentral lists this ribosomal RNA (497 nucleotides) under uncultured bacterium. RNAcentral's name for it is "partial 16S ribosomal RNA". It matches the Rfam family "Bacterial small subunit ribosomal RNA", at positions 28 to 507 of the family's 1533-position model. The record is from RNAcentral.
GAUGAACGCUGGCGGCGUGCCUAAUACAUGCAAGUCGAGCGAACAGACGAGGAGCUUGCUCCUCUGACGUUAGCGGCGGACGGGUGAGUAACACGUGGAUAACCUACCUAUAAGACUGGGAUAACUUCGGGAAACCGGAGCUAAUACCGGAUAACAUGUUUAACCGCAUGGUUCAACAGUGAAAGACGGUCUUGCUGUCACUUAUAGAUGGAUCCGCGCCGCAUUAGCUAGUUGGUAAGGUAACGGCUUACCAAGGCAACGAUGCGUAGCCGACCUGAGAGGGUGAUCGGCCACACUGGAACUGAGACACGGUCCAGACUCCUACGGGAGGCAGCAGUAGGGAAUCUUCCGCAAUGGGCGAAAGCCUGACGGAGCAACGCCGCGUGAGUGAAGAAGGUCUUCGGAUCGUAAAACUCUGUUAUUAGGGAAGAACAAAUGUGUAAGUAACUAUGCACGUCUUGACGGUACCUAAUCAGAAAGCCACGGCUAACUACGUG